AUAAGUAGACAAUAUCCAACCUGGACAAAACGGGCUUCCCUUGCGAGCCGACCUAAACCGCAUCCCCCAAAGAAUAGAGACUAAAUGCAAAGUGAGAAGAAACAGUUGAAGGACUAGGAAGAGGAUCCUCUAGGGAUGAGCUGGUCACUUUCAUGAAUUCAAAGGCAAUUUACCAGUGAUUUCUGGGUGCUGGGGCUGAUUUUUUUGUGCAUAUUUCUCACACAGUUUGAUAUAAACUUAAGUGAAUGAAUUCAUUAAUAAAAGCAGAUUUUCUAUUUUUAUUUCACCUCUGGGCCAUUUUAUACCUUUGGAGCACACGAGCACAACAAAAGAAGAAUGUCUUCCAAGCAAGCCACCUCUCCAUUUGCCUGUGCAGCUGAUGGAGAGGAUGCGAUGACCCAGGAUUUAACCUCAAGGGAAAAGGAAGAGGGCAGUGAUCAACAUGUGGCCUCCCAUCUGCCUCUGCACCCCAUAAUGCACAACAAACCUCACUCUGAGGAGCUACCAACACUUGUCAAUACCAUUCAACAAGAUGCUGACUGGGACAGCGUUCUGUCAUCUCAGCAAAGAAUGGAAUCAGAGAAUAAUAAGUUAUGUUCCCUAUAUUCCUUCCGAAAUACCUCUACCUCACCACAUAAGCCUGACGAAGGGAGUCGGGACCGCGAGAUAAUGACCAGUGUUACUUUUGGAACCCCAGAACGCCGCAAAGGGAGUCUUGCCGAUGUGGUGGACACACUGAAACAGAAGAAGCUUGAGGAAAUGACUCGGACUGAACAAGAAGGUAUGUGUGGACUUCACUGUUGGGCUCUAUUUUUUUUUCUUCUAAAGAUUCCAGGCCUUAAAAAAAAAAAGUGGGAUUUCAAGGGUCAGAGAAGUGCAUAAUUGGCACUAGCUAGGAAAAAGUUAUUCAGAGGUUACUAUGGUGAUGGCAGAUUGUGAUCCAUUAGGAGUGUUAAACAGCUCCGUUUUUCUAAAACUUUGUGCAUUUUAUUUGGUUCUUAAGAUAACAGGUUAAGAUUUUAAACUGACCAUAAUCCUACUCUGGAAAAAGGUAAGAAGGGAUUUUUCCUAACUACAACUUUAUUUUUCAUUUUUUCUCCCCUAUUUCCUUUUGGUGGAUAGUUUUUUUUUUAUAAAAAUGUCAACUGUUUAAAAAGCAAAAUUAAAAAGAUUUCUCUUCAUUUUUAUAAAUAUA
RNAcentral lists this small RNA (1195 nucleotides) under Pongo abelii (Sumatran orangutan). RNAcentral describes it as "processed transcript". Lineage: Eukaryota; Metazoa; Chordata; Mammalia; Primates; Hominidae. The record is from RNAcentral.